AUAGGAUCUCAGGCAGGCGGAGCGGAGGGCAGCUUGUGCCGAAAGGGCUCGGGCUGGUUGGUCGGGACGCCUGACAAGUCCCGCAGAACAACUUCAGAGGAGCAAAGUCCAGCCGGAGUGUGAGGGAGGCAGAGUGGAAGUUAAUGUGUGUGUGUGUGUGAGAGAGUGAGAGAGAGAGAGAAAGAGAGAGAGAGUGAGUGAGAGAGAGAGAGACAGAGAGACAGAGCGUGCUGGACACAAAAAAGUCAUUUUAAAAGAAAUGCUCCAAAGAUGGCGGUGGUAAUAGCGACGGGAGUUUCAGGUGCGUCCGCAGUGCAAAAAAGUGGAUUUGUGGAGGUUUUGGUGCGGGAGCGGUGGCACAAAGUUUUGGUCAACUUAAACGAGGAAGCGCUCACGUUAAGCUGCGAGGAGAGCAGCUCUAACGACAACUUGAACGACAGUGUCAACUCUAACGGCGUUACCAACGGAUCUUACCUUGAUAACAAUAACACCAACUCCAACAACGCACCCCAAACUGUGCGCACCGCGUUCACGGACCUCCCGGAGCGAGUGCCCGAGGCGAUCGCCAACAGAAAGCGGUGCGUCAAGGUGACCAAGCAGGAGAUCGGAGGGCUCGGGAUCAGCAUCAAGGGAGGGAAGGAGAAUAAAAUGCCCAUCCUCAUCAGUAAGAUAUUCAAGGGACUCGCAGCGGACCAGACCCAGGCUCUGUACGUCGGGGACGCCAUCCUGUCUGUGAACGGCAUGAACCUGCGGGACGCGACCCACGACGAGGCUGUGCAGGCGCUGAAGCGGGCCGGCAAAGAGGUGACUCUGGAAGUGAAGUACAUGCGCGAGGCCACACCGUACGUCAAAAAAGGCUCUCCUGUGUCAGAGAUCAGCUGGGAAACCCCCCCUCCGGAGUCUCCCCGUCUCGGCAGCCCUCCCAUCACCUUCUCCUCCCAAUCUGACCCUUCGAGCCCUGCUGCCCAGCCCUCCCUGUCCCUGCAGGGUGACAGGAGGUGCAUACCACUAAAGAUGUGCUAUGUAACCCGAGCCAUGACCACACCAGACCCUGAGAACAGACAACUGGAGCUGCACUCCCCUGACACCCGGCACACCGUGGUGCUGCGGUGCCCAGACCAACCAUCUGCCCUGUCCUGGUUCUCUGCCAUGCACUCUGUUACAUCCACACUGGCACAGCAUGCGCUGGCAGAGGUCAUCCAGAACACAGCCAGGACGGGGGUUGCUGGCAGCAAAGAGAUACGACACCUGGGAUGGCUGGCAGGGAAGACAGAGAGCGAGAAGCAGUCCUGGAAGCCGGUGCUGGUGGUUGUGACGGAGAAAGACCUGCUGCUGUUUGACAGUUUACCACGAGGCAAGGAGGCAUGGCAGAGCCCUGCACACACUUAUCCACUUUUAGCAACACGUCUGGUCCACUCUGGCCCUGACCGGGGGUCACCUCACUCCGGCACAGAGCUGUUCUUUGCCACUCGGACUGGCACGAGACUCGGCAUCGAGACUCACCUGUUCCGGGCUGAGACCACCAAGGAUCUGUCCCUGUGGACCAGACAUAUAGUGAACGGAUGUCACGCCUCAGCUGAGAUGAUCAAAGAAGUCACUACGAGUUGUCUAUACCAAGGUCAGGAGUGUCGGCUGGUGAUCCACUAUGAACAGGGCUUCUCUGUGCUGGCUGACCCCAUACUGGGAGACCGGGAGAACAGGGAGGAGAGAGGAGCUCACACACCUACCAGGCCCCGGGUGCUCCUCUCCUACCCCUACGAAAAAUUAAAGAUGUCCUCAGAUGACGGAGUUCGCAUGCUCAUCCUUGACUUUGGAGGGAAGGAGGGGGAGAUUGCUUAUGGGACUCUCUGAAAACUGAGAUGUUUUAUAUCUGCACCUUGAACUGACUGUGUAACAGCCCACAAAGAGCUCCAUAUAAAACUUCUGUCAGCAACUGGACCUUCACUCGUGUCCAAAGCCAAUCGUCUUCAUCCUCCACUCCUUCCUCUCUGCUAAGAUCUCCCGCCUGGGUCUGGUGGCCUGACCUCUCUAAAGGGACGUUUCACCUCCUUUUAAAAACAGAAAUCCACUUUGUUUUGCCGCCUCUCUGCAGCGCGCAUGCAGUACACCACGUCACACCUUCAGUCGGGGACCCAAGCUGAGUGAAUGUAGCCUCUAUCUGGAAACUGACCUUUUUUGGGUCUCGAAUUCCAAGUUAAAGAAACACUGGAGAAACCAGAUUGGUUUUGCCUUGAGCAAAAUUGACAGAUUUCUUUGGGAUAAACCCUCCCUUUAAGGGCUGCAUGGACUGAAGUGUUGACUGAAGAGCCACAGAGGAAAACAUGGACUGGACUAGAAGCAGAGGGAUGAUAUUUACAGAGGGACACAUUUAAAGGAGCAGAUUGGGCAUUACUGUCACGUCCAGGAUUGGAAGGACUGGACAUGUGCAGCAAGGUUGAGAUGAAUUCACUUUUAAUUCAAUCAAAAUGUAAUGGCAAAACUGCCUUCCAUUUACCAAUUAUAUAAUUUAUUUACCAUUAGCUCUGAAAGGACAUUCUGAAUUUCACUUGGUCAUUUUUCUUCAACAAACACUUGACACACUGUGGAAAAACUUUAUGCAUUUGUCUUUGUUAGCGUUCCCUGAAAUGUCUUGUUAGCCGUGUCAGCAUUCAUCAUUGAAACUGGGAGGCACAAUUGCCCGCAGUGUCCCACAAUGUGACAGCUGACUCAAAUUCAAAAUGUCACAGUAUUUGUUUAACAGGUUGCAUACAGUGACCAUCUGGUGGUCAAAGUAUUUCAGUGUUUGACUGAUUUGACAGUUCUAAUGACUUCAAAUAUAAUUUUUCAAUCAACUAACAUGAAUUAUAAAACACUCAAGCAUUCAGAUUUAUUGCAAUCACAAUCGUAGGCUCCUGUUUAUCACUCAAAAGCAGGGGAAAAAAUCAUAUCCAACAUAUCAAAAAGUACAAUAGCUUGUUACUGCAAUUUUGUCCAUGACACUGGGGAUCCAAAUGGCAUUUACUGUUGUGUUUCUGACAAAUGCAACUUCAGUUUCCACAGAAAUACCAGUAAUCCAUAUCAUGGACGUUCAUAAUGAGGAUACGGAUGCUAAUGAUUUUAUAUGAUUUGAAUUUAUCACUACAUGUACCAUAACCAAACAAUAAGGUAAUAUUUAUAACACACUUUGACAAUAAAGUUUAAAGCAAUAGUUCUUUUAGAGAAAUAAGCUUUUAGCCAAGAGUUAGGUGACUGUCUGAAGCUACAGCCAGUAGCUGGUUAUAGCUUAGCAUUGUUUAAUGACUGGCAACAGAGGGAAACUAUAGUCCAAAGGCAACAAAUCACUUUAUAUGUCUUUAUAUCUGAAUUGUGCUAUAGGCCGAUUUAGUUUAAAUCUGGAGCUGAACAUACAAUAAUGUUUUGAAUUUCUCUUAAAGAAAAUAAUCUCACCACAAGGUGCAUUUAGUAGCUGUUCCGGAGAUUUCAAGCAGCUCGUUUUACUAUUUUAGCAUAAAAACUGUCACUGACACGGUCCAAGAAAUAGUCUGGCACACAACCUUCCGUAAAACCACAUCUUUAUCUUUUUACAGUUUUACACACAUUUUUUGUACAGAUGAGAUGUAAGGUGUUAAAUAGUGAGCUUCAGAAGUGAUGUUAGAAGGAAUUUUGUUUUUUCCAUCUUUGGACAAAGGUUAGCUGUUUCCCCAUUUCUAAUAUUUAGCCAGCUACUAGCUAUGGCCUUACAUUUAAUGGACAAAUAUGAGAGUGGUAUUGGUCUUUUUAUCUAACUCUCGGUAAGUCAGCAAAUAAGUGUAUUUCCAAAAACGUGGACAGUGAGCUGUUUUUUGCCUGAUUUACCAACUGAAAUCCUCUCUGAACAACUGAGCAUGUUUGCCUGCUUAAAUGACAAACUACAAUCAUAUUCUACCCCAUCAAGCAAAUCUGCCAUGAGUAUUUCUAAUUUUCAUAUUAAAAACUGAAAAUCAACCUGACAGUACCACAAUCACCCCAUGAAGCAUUACUUGUAUUUUUCUUUCAUUAUAGCAAUGUAGCCAUCAUAGGAGUCUUCAACUCUGCUUUAGUCUUGCAGUUAUCAGUGCAGGUCAUUAUCUGUUUGGUCAUACAGCAGAUCAAAUCUGUGUACUGUCUCUGACUGACGUGGCUGGCUGCCAGGUCCUUUCCUCGUGCCUUCAGAUGACUAAAACAUCAGAAUUUUUGAAAGAUAUUAAUCAUAGAGAUCACAGGGAUGAUUGUGGAGCAACAAUGUGACUUCUACGAUGGCUACUUUACUUUUGGUAAUCAAACAUGUUUUCAAUGACCAUUUACACACAAACUGUGAACAAUGAUUUACACAUUGUAAUCCUACCACUCUCUAGAAGAAAUAUCUGUUUUGUUGAUGCUAAAAGAUAGUUGGAAGUAUUGUAACACUUUUGUUCAGACAAGAAUCCAGCACUUACUGAUAACCUCAAGUGGAGAGAAGCUUUUUGAGUAAAGGCUGCUUUGAUAUGUAGAAUACUCUGAUGCCUUCGGCAGCUACUGUACUGUCACUCAGAAUGAUAAAGCUUAGUUUUUAACUCAAACGGUGCACAUAAAUCAUGUAUUUAACAAAA
Morone saxatilis (striped sea-bass) is the source of this 4586-nucleotide RNA transcript. It is a transcript of the gene named syntrophin, basic 1, with no coding region annotated. The record is from RefSeq and is a predicted model, not a curated record. NCBI's taxonomy places the organism in Eukaryota, Metazoa, Chordata, Actinopteri, Moronidae. The transcript has 9 exons.